This 599-nucleotide ribosomal RNA is filed under the name Phyllosticta capitalensis. Its description in RNAcentral is "eukaryotic LSU rRNA". The stretch from base 242 to 395 matches the Rfam family "5.8S ribosomal RNA". Lineage: Eukaryota; Fungi; Ascomycota; Dothideomycetes; Botryosphaeriales; Phyllostictaceae. The record is from RNAcentral.
CGGGCGCACUUAAUUUUAGGGAGAACAUAUCUUUAAGGGUGCAGCAGUAUCCCUACCGCGCGAAAAUGACCUUCUCACCCUUGUGUUCUCACUAUGUUGCUUUGGCGGGUCGACCUGGUUCCGACCCAGGCGGCCGGCGCCCCCAGCCUUAACUGGCCAGGACGCCCGGCUAAGUGCCCGCCAGUAUACAAAACUCAAGAAUUCAUUUUGUGAAGUCCUGAUAUAUCAUUUAAUUGAUUAAAACUUUCAACAACGGAUCUCUUGGUUCUGGCAUCGAUGAAGAACGCAGCGAAAUGCGAUAAGUAAUGUGAAUUGCAGAAUUCAGUGAAUCAUCGAAUCUUUGAACGCACAUUGCGCCCUCUGGUAUUCCGGAGGGCAUGCCUGUUCGAGCGUCAUUUCAACCCUCAAGCUCUGUUGGUAUUGGGCAACUUCCGGUGCCGGACGUGCCUUGGAAAACCUCGGCAANGGGCUCCUAGCCUCCAGCGUUAGUAUUAAAAUAUCUCGCUUNUGAAUGUGGGGAGACGGCGCNGGGAAAUCGAUCUUCGGUCUUAUUUCCAGGUGUGACCUCGUAUCANGUAGGGAUACCCCNUGNUCUUUAG